UGCUGGAGAAAGCAUGAAAACAUAACCUGUUUACCACUGAGCACCUUUCAGAGUGGGGACACAGCAUCAGUGAGUCCAGCUCCAGCUGGCUCUGCACAUGGCCAGAACCAGCAGAAACAGCAGCGCUGCCAGUUUCAAAGUUCCAAGUUUUUGCUGACUGAAAGUGAAAAGUACCCCCAAGAUCACCAAGCAACAAUUCAAAUACAAACAAUUCCAGGGAAGGAGUCCUGAGACCCAGCCUGGUUCCUCCAGCCUUCACCACCACUUGCUAGUCAGAAGGCCACAUUUCAGCUUUUAUUCAGACAAGACUAAACAGUAAGUGCUAUCCC
This is a long non-coding RNA of Mauremys reevesii (Reeves's turtle), 329 nucleotides long. RefSeq lists it as uncharacterized. The transcript is spliced from 3 exons. NCBI's taxonomy places the organism in Eukaryota, Metazoa, Chordata, Testudines, Geoemydidae. The record is from RefSeq and is a predicted model, not a curated record.